GCAGACGAUUGUAGCGCGAGCUCUAUACACGUCCACGGUUGUAGCUGUUGAAAAUAAGGAAAACAUGAAAUCCAUAAUAACUGUGACAGCUGGAAAGAAUAUCAGCUGUGAGGUAUUGAACGUUUUCUUAACAGAGCAUACAACAGCGUGCCCAGUCAAGAUGAAGCUUUUCUGGCCUGGUUCAAUACAGACUGUAUGCAUCGUGAUAUUGUGAGGACGAGUACGGGUCACUCAGAACAAGAUUUCUUGGAAGGAUUCAUUUUCGAAGGAACCGAAGAUGAAAAGUAUGCGCACAGGCUCAGCACCGACACAAUUCUCCGUUUUCUCACUACAGUUUUUGUGACCAACAGAGAACAGAUCGCCAUCAGGCAGCAAGACAGUUCCUGACAAUACGUAGCAGGAAGAGGCUACAGCAACAACACCUGCAGUUUUCCAGCAUGCAGAACACAUCUCUUUAAGAAAAUGCUUUGUUUUAAUAAUGGAAACAAAGAGUAUUACCCACCUGCUGACAUUACUGUCUACUUUUCACAUCAUUACAGGUUUAACAUUCAUUCUCGAACCAGCUGAUGGAAUAGCAGCUAUACGAAGACCUUAUUUCCUUCACUGCAGAGCUGAAGAUACUUCUGAAAUAACUUAUUUGUGGCAGUAUGACAAUAAAGACAUCAUAUCAGAUCCCAAUGCAGCAAUCAUUACUGAUAAGACUGUCUACCCUAAUGGAACUCUUCAUAUCAGAAGUGUGAAAGAGGAGGACAUGGGGUGUAUACAUGCAUGGCAACUUCAAGUGGCAAGACAAUCAAGAGCAGGCAGGCCAUCCUGAGACAAGCAUACAUUGCUCCUACCUUUAGCAUGAACCCUCAAGAUGCAGCAGUUCAGCUUCACUCUGAAAUCAUUCUACACUGCAGGAUAGACAGUUUACCUCCAGCAUUUAUUAUGUGGCGACUGAAUGGCCUUGAUGUUGUCCCUGAAGUGUUUUUUGUUGGCACAACACACUAUGGGGAAACUUUGCACAUCAGCAGUGCUGGAUAUAGUGAUGCUGGGGAAUAUGUAUGUGUUGGUGUCAACACUCUUCUUGGAGUAAUACGUUACAGCACCCCUGGAGAGCUUCAGGUAGUAGGUAAACCUCAAAUAACCAGAGCACCACAGAAUUUGACAAGUUCUAUAGGAAGCACAGUUGUUUUUCAACUGUGCAGCCUUAGCAAGUCCAGAACCACAUUUACUUUGGCUCAAGAGUUUGGAGACAGGGAAUUCUGUACAACUGCAGAACUCCAGCAAUGUCACUAGCUUCUCAAAUGGAACACUUGUGGUGAGGAACAUCAAAGAAACAGAUGGGGGACUAUAUACAUGUAUGGCCAACAAUGAUUAUGGCAGUGACAGAGUCUUCGCCUAUCUGGAAAUUACAGUUGCUCCAAUAAUUUUUAAGGCACCAAAGAAUCAGACAGUGACUGCUGGAGAAAACAUUAACUUUACCUGUGAAGCUCAAGGCAACCCCACACCUCAUGUUGUAUGGCUGAAGAAUGGUGUGAGAAUUAAGACAGAGCUAACAGCUUUGGGAGUUUUGAUGCUGGAGAAGGUGACACUCAGUGAUGCAGGGGUGUACACUUGCCUAGCUGAGAGUCCAGAAGGACAGAUAUCUUCCUCAGUCUCUCUUAAUGUUCUGUUUGCCCCAGAAAUCGACUCCCACCCAGCAGAUGAGAUUGUUCUAAUAGGCUCAUCAUUCAGUCUUUCAUGUAAAGUAACUGGAAAUCCUGUGCCUUCCAUGCAGUGGAUUUUGCCAAACUCAGUGAUUCUUCAAAAAAUGAGCUUUUUUGAAAAUGCUACUGUUGAUCAAACUGGAACAUUACUGGUAACUGCAGUGACGCCAGAGUAUCAAGGUCACUACACUUGUUAUGCAUGGAAUUCCUUAGGCUAUUCAACGGCUAUUGCAUUCAUCACAGUUGAAGGUCCACCUUAUUUUAAAGUACAACCUGCCAGUCAAACUGUACUGCUGGGGAAUACAGCUAACCUGUCCUGCCAAGCUGGCAGUUACCCCAUCCCUACAGUGAGCUGGUUCCAUGGCGAUCAAGUCCUUCUGCCAGGUUCACAGAUUGUUAUCUCCUCAUUAGGAGAUCUGACAAUUCAUGAAGCAAGGUUAGAGGAUGGUGGACAAUACACAUGUGUGGCUGAAAAUUUCUAUGGUAGUCUCAACACCAGUGCUAUUCUGUCCAUACAUGUCCUUCCAGUUUUUGUGGUGGCACCCUCCUCUAUGGCAGUAACCUUUGGUCAGACAGUGACUUUAAAAUGUGAGGUGACUGGUGUUCCAACACCAACUCAAAAGUGGAUCAGAAGCGGAAGAACAUUACUUCUUGGGAAUAAUAUGAUCAUAAGACCUGACAACACCUUGGUCAUUGCAAACAUUACUCACAAAGACCUUGGACAGUAUACGUGCCUCGCUCGAAAUGAAGCUGGAGAGAAAAGUGCAACUGCUAGUAUCUACCUGCCAGGAUGGCCAUUUUUUGUGGCCAGUGAAAGAAACAUUACAGUAAACAUCUCAGAGCCACUUAACAUCUCCUGCCAUGCCCAACAGUCUGGAGAUGGAGAGGGUGUCAUCCAUGCUGUCCGUUGGUACCGAGGAUGCUGCAAUGCUGGCAAUGACACUCUGAUUCCUUGUACUGAAGGCAGUCUGAACAAUGAGACAGAUUCAAUCCAUAUCUGGUCAACGAAUCAUGGGGACCUUUACUUUCAGCAAGUGCUGGAAGCAGAUGAGGGCUGGUACUACUGUGCUGCUGACAAUGAAGGGGAUGCUGUAUACUCGGAUCCUGUCUAUAUAAAUGUUCAAGUUUCACCCAGAAUUACAAAUGUUACCAAUGUAACUCCAGGAAAUAACCAGACAUCACUGCAGAUAAUGUGUCUGGCUGUAGGAGAUCCUGAUCCUCUGGUGAUAUGGAGAUCACCCAUAGGUCAAGAGAGAGGUGACAGGACAGAUUUGGCAGAUGGAGUUCAAUCAGUUGUGAAGGUUACAAAUGUUAGUGAUAGUGGUCAGUGGAUCUGCAAAGCCUGUAAUAUCCUCGGCUGUGCCUUUGCUACAAUAACAUUGGAUGUAGAAGUGAAUCCUCUGAUGGGCACGUCACAAUUACCUGCCAGGUUGCUGGCUUUCCCUCCCCAGACAUAUACUACUACAUCUCCAAUGGUACUGAUGUCACUACGUUGCCUAGUCAUACUGUUGAGGCAGGGCACUUGAUGGUUAUGGCUAGUGCCCUGCAGGAAGCAUACACCUGUACAGCUAAAAACAUUCAUGGUGCUUCAUCACUACUUCUUACAAAACCUCUCACACAUCCAUGGAUAAUCCAUACAGUUUCAUCAGCAACAGAAAUAAGCUUGACUUUCAACAUAUCAGGAUCACUAGGCGCUCUUCCUCUGAAGGCCUUGUUGAUAGCCUACAAGCCCGUCUUGAA
Molecule: unclassified non-coding RNA, 3431 nt
Filed under: Pomacea canaliculata
Lineage: Eukaryota; Metazoa; Mollusca; Gastropoda; Architaenioglossa; Ampullariidae
Description: hemicentin-1-like, transcript variant X5
Source: RNAcentral